Molecule: ribosomal RNA, 406 nt
Filed under: uncultured bacterium
Lineage: Bacteria
Description: partial 16S ribosomal RNA
Rfam family: Bacterial small subunit ribosomal RNA
Source: RNAcentral
AUUGAACGCUGGCGGCAGGCCUAACACAUGCAAGUCGAACGAGUGGCGGACGGGUGAGUAAUGUCUGGGAAACUGCCUGAUGGAGGGGGAUAACUACUGGAAAGGGUAGCUAAUACCGCAAAGCAGCAGAAGUGCCCAGAUGGGAUUAGAUUGUGGGUGGGGUAAGGGCUCACCGAGGCGACGCUCCCUAGCUGGUCUGAGAGGAUGACCAGCCACACUGGAACUGAGACACGGUCCAGACUCCUACGGGAGGCAGCAGUGGGGAAUAUUGCACAAUGGGCGCAAGCCUGAUACAGCCAUGCCGCGUGUAUGAAGAAGGCCUUCGGGUUGUAAAGUACUUUCAGCGGGGAGGCGUUACCCGCAGAAGAAGCACCGGCUAACUCCGUGCCAGCAGCCGCGGUAAUAC